RNAcentral lists this ribosomal RNA (467 nucleotides) under uncultured bacterium. RNAcentral's name for it is "partial 16S ribosomal RNA". It matches the Rfam family "Bacterial small subunit ribosomal RNA", at positions 28 to 506 of the family's 1533-position model. The record is from RNAcentral.
GACGAACGCUGGCGGCGUGCUUAACACAUGCAAGUCGAACGGAAAGGCCCUGCUUUCGUGGGGUGCUCGAGUGGCGAACGGGUGAGUAACACGUGAGUAACCUGCCCUUGACUUUGGUAUAACUUCACGUAACUGGGGCUAAUACCGUAUAGGAUCUCCUGCUGCAUGGUGGGGGUUGGAAAGUUUCGGCGGUCGGGGAUGGACGUGCGGCUGAUCAGCUUGUUGGUGGGGUAGUGGCUUACCAAGGCUUUGACGGGUAGCCGGCCUGAGAGGGUGACCGGCACCAGAGUAAUUGGGAUGGGACCCAGACUCCAUAGGGAGGCAGCGGUGGGGAAUAUUGCAAAAUAAGCCGAGGGCGGAAGCAGCAACGCCGGGUGCGAAAGGACGGUUUUCGGGUUGGAAACGGAUUUCGCUUGUGACGAGGCGUGAUGAACGGAAAUGGGUAAAGAAGAACGGGCUAACUAGUU